This 523-nucleotide ribosomal RNA is filed under the name uncultured bacterium. RNAcentral describes it as "bacterial SSU rRNA". It matches the Rfam family "Bacterial small subunit ribosomal RNA", at positions 26 to 518 of the family's 1533-position model. The record is from RNAcentral.
AGGACGAACGCUGGCGGCGUGCCUAACACAUGCAAGUCGAACGGAAUUAAGUUAACACCGAACACUUGUUGGUGGAGACGCCUUACCGAGUGGUGGGUGUUGAGCUUAAUUUAGUGGCGGACGGGUGAGUAACGCGUGAGUAACCUGCCUUUCAGAGGGGGAUAACGUCUGGAAACGGACGCUAAUACCGCAUGACAUAUUUGGGCUGCAUGGUCUGAAUAUCAAAGGAGCAAUCCGCUGAAAGAUGGACUCGCGUCCGAUUAGCUAGUUGGUGAGAUAAAGGCCCACCAAGGCGACGAUCGGUAGCCGGACUGAGAGGUUGAACGGCCACAUUGGGACUGAGACACGGCCCAGACUCCUACGGGAGGCAGCAGUGGGGGAUAUUGCACAAUGGAGGAAACUCUGAUGCAGCAACGCCGCGUGAGGGAAGACGGUUUUCGGAUUGUAAACCUCUGUCCUUGGUGACGAAACAAAUGACGGUAGCCAAGGAGGAAGCUCCGGCUAACUACGUGCCAGCAGCCGC